AAUUGUGCAAGGCUGGAAAUUAUAUGGCUCUAGGUUGAUUGAACACAUGUACAUUUGUGACAUUGCCUUACUCUUUCUAUCAUGAAAUGCUUGAUUUUAAUCCAAUGGACUUGAAAUUUUACAUGCUGAUUCUAGACACAUUGAUGGACCUUUGAGGCUUGAUCUGGUAUUUUUCUCAUGUGCCAAUUCUGUUUUAUUCUUG
Molecule: long non-coding RNA, 202 nt
Filed under: Lathyrus oleraceus (garden pea)
Lineage: Eukaryota; Viridiplantae; Streptophyta; Magnoliopsida; Fabales; Fabaceae
Description: Pisum sativum (pea) long non-coding RNA (PSAT_LNC012227)
Source: RNAcentral